GACGAACGCUGGCGGCGUGCCUAACACAUGCAAGUCAACUUGACUGAAGGAGCAAUCUGACAGUAGAGUGGCGCAAGGGUGCGUAACGCGUAAGUAACUUGCCCCAAGGUAAGGAAUAACGUCGAGAAAUCGGCGCUAAUACCUCAUAAUGCAGCGGAUCCGCAUGGAUAUGUUGUUAAAGGUUUACCGCCUUGGGAUAGGCUUGCGUCUGAUUAGCUAGUUGGUGUGGUAACGGCACACCAAGGCUACGAUCAGUAACUGGUCUGAGAGGAUGAUCAGUCACACUGGAACUGAGACACGGUCCAGACUCCUACGGGAGGCAGCAGUGAGGAAUAUUGGGCAAUGCUCGAAAGAGUGACCCAGCAACGCCGCGUGGAGGAUGAAGGUAUUCUAUAUCGUAAACUCCUGUGAGAGCAGACGAAGACAGAUUAUUAAUCUGGAUGACUGUAUGCUCAGAGGAAGCCCCGGCU
RNAcentral lists this ribosomal RNA (470 nucleotides) under uncultured bacterium. RNAcentral describes it as "bacterial SSU rRNA". It matches the Rfam family "Bacterial small subunit ribosomal RNA", at positions 28 to 498 of the family's 1533-position model. The record is from RNAcentral.